This 430-nucleotide ribosomal RNA is filed under the name uncultured bacterium. RNAcentral's name for it is "bacterial SSU rRNA". It matches the Rfam family "Bacterial small subunit ribosomal RNA", at positions 917 to 1350 of the family's 1533-position model. The record is from RNAcentral.
GGGCCCGCACAAGCGGUGGAGCAUGUGGUUUAAUUCGAUGAUACGCGAGGAACCUUACCAGGGCUUAAAUGUAGUCUGACAGGGGUGGAAACACCCCCUCCUUCGGGCAGAUUACAAGGUGCUGCAUGGUUGUCGUCAGCUCGUGCCGUGAGGUGUCAGGUUAAGUCCUAUAACGAGCGCAACCCCUGCCGUUAGUUGCCAGCAUGUAAUGAUGGGAACUCUAACGGGACUGCCGGUGCAAACCGCGAGGAAGGUGGGGAUGACGUCAAAUCAUCACGGCCCUUACGUCCUGGGCUACACACGUGCUACAAUGGCCGGUACAGAGGGCAGCCACACCGCAAGGUGGAGCGAAUCCUUAAAACCGGUCUCAGUUCGGAUCGGGGUCUGCAACUCGGCCCCGUGAAGCUGGAAUCGCUAGUAAUCGCAGGUC